UGGUAGUNCACGCCCUAAACGAUGUCAAUUAGCUGUUGGGCAACUUGAUUGCUUAGUAGCGUAGCUAACGCGUGAAAUUGACCGCCUGGGGAGUACGGUCGCAAGAUUAAAACUCAAAGGAAUUGACGGGGACCCGCACAAGCGGUGGAUGAUGUGGAUUAAUUCGAUGCAACGCGAAGAACCUUACCUGGUCUUGACAUGUACGGAAUCUUCCAGAGACGGAGAGUGCCUUCGGGAACCGUAACACAGGUGNUGCAUGGCUGUCGUCAGCUCGUGUCGUGAGAUGUUGGGUUAAGUCCCGCAACGAGCGCAACCCUUGUCAUUAGUUGCCAUCAUUCAGUUGGGCACUNUAAUGAGACUGCCGGUGACAAACCGGAGGAAGGUGGGGACGACGUCAAGUCCUCAUGGCCCUUAUGACCAGGGCUUCACACGUCAUACAAUGGUCGGUACAGAGGGUAGCCAAGCCGCGAGGUGGAGCCAAUCCCAGAAAACCGAUCGUAGUCCGGAUUGCACUCUGCAACUCGAGUGCAUGAAGUCGGAAUCGCUAGUGAUCGCAGGUCAGCAUACUGCGGUGAAUACGUUCCCGGGUNUUGUACACACCGCCCGUCACACCAUGGAAGUGGGGGAUACCAGAAGUAGGUAGGCUAACCGCAAGGAGGCCGCUUACC
RNAcentral lists this ribosomal RNA (668 nucleotides) under uncultured bacterium. Its description in RNAcentral is "bacterial SSU rRNA". It matches the Rfam family "Bacterial small subunit ribosomal RNA", at positions 788 to 1458 of the family's 1533-position model. The record is from RNAcentral.